AACGCGAAGAACCUUACCCAGGCUUGAACUGCGAGUGACCUCCUACGAAAGUAGGCUUCCGCAAGGACACUCGAAGAGGUGCUGCAUGGCUGUCGUCAGCUCGUGUCGUGAGAUGUUGGGUUAAGUCCCGCAACGAGCGCAACCCUUGUCAGUAGUUGCCAGCGGUUCGGCCGGGCACUCUACUGAGACUGCCGUUGAUAAACCGGAGGAAGGUGGGGAUGACGUCUGGUCCGCAUGGCCUUUAUGUCUGGGGCUACACGCGUGCUACAAUGGCCGGUACAAACCGUCCCGAUACCGUAAGGUGGAGCUAAUCGGAGAAAGCCGGUCUCAGUUCGGAUUACAGGCUGCAACUCGCCUGUAUGAAGUUGGAAUCGCUAGUAAUCGCGGAUCAUCACGCCGCGGUGAAUACGUUCCCGGGCCUUGUACACACCG
RNAcentral lists this ribosomal RNA (432 nucleotides) under uncultured bacterium. RNAcentral's name for it is "bacterial SSU rRNA". It matches the Rfam family "Bacterial small subunit ribosomal RNA", at positions 958 to 1392 of the family's 1533-position model. The record is from RNAcentral.